Molecule: long non-coding RNA, 1488 nt
Organism: Apis cerana (Asiatic honeybee)
Lineage: Eukaryota; Metazoa; Arthropoda; Insecta; Hymenoptera; Apidae
Source: RefSeq, a predicted model, not a curated record
GAGCUACCUAUAUCAGUUGUACCAAUGUAUUUUGUAUUAUAAUUAUUCUGUGAUUAUUUUUUAUCAGAAAAGUUUUAACAGAAAAAAAGUUAUUUGAUUUCGAAGAAUGUAUAAUUUCAUGUCGAUAAUUCUUUUAUAUAGAUAAUAUAGAAGAUACCAUGACUGUCACAAAAGUUAAUUGUUUAAUUCACCUUCGUCGAAUUACGAAAAAUGACAGCAAUAUGAAUAGAAUUAUAUUAUAUAUUUAAUUAUAUUAUUUUUUACUAUUUUAGAGAUGUCACGUGAUGAGGCUUCUAAACCAAUAUGUCGCAUCGUGUCACGUGAUGUGUUUUGCUCAAUCUAGCAGUGGGGAUAUUGUGACGUCACAUAUUUUUUUCCCGAGGAAAUUCACAGAGGAAUUGAGUUACUUUUAGUAUAUCAAAAUCAGAUAAAUUCUGUAUAAUAUCGUCUAUGUAUUUAACAUUUUUAUAAAGAAAUGCAAUGGACAUAUCGUACGAUCUAAUUUAAUCUUUAAAAAGUAAUAGUGUUAUUAAAAGAUGUUAAAAAGUAAAAAGCGCCAGAUUCUGUUUCAAAUAUUCGCAGCAGAAAUCGAGAACACCUAGGAUAUUCAAAUAAUCGGCAGUGACCAGCAAUUGGCACACGUUCUCAUUGUUCACAUUGAUCGAUCUCAAGUAAGCGUAUUCGAGAAGCAGAUUCAUCAUGUUGCUGCUGACACCGGGCAAGAGUACAUCCGUUUUCUCACAUUUUAUUUUAUAUAAAAUAUUUUAAAGAAUAUAAGGAUAUAAAAGAUAAAAGGAUAUAAAAUAUAAAACUUUUGUUUAAGUGUUUAAUAAAGAGUUAAAGUUAUUAUAAAAAGAAAAUGUCAUUUAAAGCAUAGAUUGAACUCAUACUAGACAAGACCUAAAAUAUGGACUGCAAGCUGAUAAAAUGGCCCGGUGAAUCGGAAAUACGCCUCCAUCCUCGAGUCUCAAGACGGCGUCGCAAAGAAGAUUGUUCUGUCGAAAAUCAUAAAGCGAUUGCAUAGCUUGUGUGCUCAUACAUCGGCCACCACUUUCGGCAAUCAAUCGUUGAGUGUUCGUUUCGCAUAGAUCGAUAUCCCUGCUGUUUUCGUUUGAGUCUACAUCCAUAUCAAAUUUUCUCCAAAUUCGGGUACGAAUCUUGUCGAGGAUCCGCGACGACAAAGGUGGGGAUAUACGUUGCCCGAUUCCGUUUAUACGAUGCUUGAAAAUUUUCUAAACACAUCUUUUAUUUUAACAAUUAACAGUUUCCAUCGUUUAGUUGUCAUUAUUCCAUUGAAUAUUAUAAUUAAUUCCAACGAAUUAUUUCAAAUAAUAUAAUUUUAAGAAUGGCGAUCAUUUUUGAGAAUUUGACUAAAUUGUAUUAAUUUUAUAACUUAUAAUUUUUAUAUAUUUAUAUAUAUUUAUAUAUUUUUAUAACUUAUAAAAAAAAAUAAAAAGAAGGUAAUCCUAAUAAGAAAAAAAUAUAAAA